RNAcentral lists this ribosomal RNA (576 nucleotides) under uncultured bacterium. Its description in RNAcentral is "bacterial SSU rRNA". It matches the Rfam family "Bacterial small subunit ribosomal RNA", at positions 28 to 695 of the family's 1533-position model. The record is from RNAcentral.
GAUGAACGCUAGCUACAGGCUUAACACAUGCAAGUCGAGGGACCGGCGCACGGGUGAGUAACGCGUAUCCAACCUGCCCAUCACUUGGGGAUAACCUUGCGAAAGUAAGACUAAUACCCAAUGGUGAUGGAUGGGGAUGCGUCAGAUUAGCUUGUUGGCGGGGUAACGGCCCACCAAGGCGACGAUCAGUAGGGGUUCUGAGAGGAAGGUCCCCCACAUUGGAACUGAGACACGGUCCAAACUCCUACGGGAGGCAGCAGUGAGGAAUAUUGGUCAAUGGGCGAGAGCCUGAACCAGCCAAGUAGCGUGCAGGAUGACGGCCUAUGGGUUGUAAACUGCUUUUAUAAGGGAAUAUGUACCUUAUGAAUAAGGACCGGCUAAUUCCGUGCCAGCAGCCGCGGUAAUACGGAAGGUCCGGGCGUUAUCCGGAUUUAUUGGGUUUAAAGGGAGCGUAGGCCGGAGAUUAAGCGUGUUGUGAAAUGUAGAUGCUCAACAUCUGCACUGCAGCGCGAACUGGUUUCCUUGAGUACGCACAAAGUGGGCGGAAUUCGUGGUGUAGCGGUGAAAUGCUUAGAU